This 303-nucleotide ribosomal RNA is filed under the name uncultured bacterium. Its description in RNAcentral is "partial 16S ribosomal RNA". It matches the Rfam family "Bacterial small subunit ribosomal RNA", at positions 507 to 807 of the family's 1533-position model. The record is from RNAcentral.
AGCAGUCGCCGCGGUAAUACCGAGGGUGCGAGCGUUAAUCGGAUUUACUGGGCGUAAAGCGUGCGUAGGCGGCUUCUUAAGUCGGAUGUGAAAUCCCUGAGCUUAACUUAGGAAUUGCAUUCGAUACUAAGAAGCUAGAGUAUGGGAGAGGAUGGUAGAAUUCCAGGUGUAGCGGUGAAAUGCGUAGAGAUCUGGAGGAAUACCGAUGGCGAAGGCAGCCAUCUGGCCUAAUACUGACGCUGAGGUACGAAAGCAUGGGGAGCAAACAGGAUUAGAUACCCCUGUAGUCCCUGUCUCUUAUAC